RNAcentral lists this ribosomal RNA (281 nucleotides) under unidentified marine bacterioplankton. RNAcentral's name for it is "partial 16S ribosomal RNA". It matches the Rfam family "Bacterial small subunit ribosomal RNA", at positions 59 to 339 of the family's 1533-position model. The record is from RNAcentral. RNAcentral also lists the same sequence under 1 other name.
AAGUCGAGGGGUAAGGCUCACUUCGGUGAGUACACGACCGGCGCACGGGUGCGUAACGCGUAUGCAACCUACCUUUAACAGAGGGAUAGCCCCGAGAAAUCGGGAUUAAUACCACAUAACACCACAUUGUUUCAUGACAGCGUGGUUAAAGCUCCGGCGGUUAAAGAUGGGCAUGCGUGACAUUAGCUAGUUGGUAAGGUAACGGCUUACCAAGGCUACGAUGUCUAGGGGUUCUGAGAGGAUGAUCCCCCACACUGGUACUGAGACACGGACCAGACUCC